Molecule: ribosomal RNA, 143 nt
Filed under: uncultured eukaryote
Lineage: Eukaryota
Description: partial small subunit ribosomal RNA
Rfam family: Bacterial small subunit ribosomal RNA
Source: RNAcentral
GUACACACCGCCCGUCACACCAUGGGAGUGAGGGAUACCAGAAGUAGGUAGCUCAACCGCAAGGAAAGCGCUUACCACGGUAUGUUUCAUGACUGGGGUGAAGUCGUAACAAGGUAGCCGUAGGUGAACCUGUAGAAGGAUCA